GAUGAACGCUAGCGGCAGGCUUAACACAUGCAAGUCGAGGGGCAGCACGUCUUCGGAUGGUGGCGACCGGCGCACGGGUGCGUAACGCGUAUACAACCUACCUUAUAGAGGGGAAUAGCCCAGAGAAAUUUGGAUUAAUGCCCCAUAGUAUUAUUGAAUAGCAUUAUUUGAUGAUUAAACAUUUAUGGCUAUAAGAUGGGUAUGCGUUCUAUUAGCUAGAUGGUAAGGUAACGGCUUACCAUGGCGACGAUAGAUAGGGGUCCUGAGAGGGAGAUCCCCCACACUGGUACUGAGACACGGACCAGACUCCUACGGGAGGCAGCAGUGAGGAAUAUUGGACAAUGGGCGAGAGCCUGAUCCAGCCAUGCCGCGUGCAGGAAGACGGCCCUAUGGGUUGUAAACUGCUCUUAUACGGGAAGAAACACUCCUUCGUGAAGGAUCUUGACGGUACCGUAAGAAUAAGGAUCGGCUAACUCCGUGGCAGCAGCCG
Molecule: ribosomal RNA, 490 nt
Filed under: uncultured bacterium
Lineage: Bacteria
Description: bacterial SSU rRNA
Rfam family: Bacterial small subunit ribosomal RNA
Source: RNAcentral